GGAGGAUUCGUCUAGCGGCUAGGACUCAAGAUUUUCAUUCUUGCAACAGGGGUUCGAUUCCCCUAUCCUCUACCA
RNAcentral lists this transfer RNA (75 nucleotides) under Alistipes sp. CAG:831. Its description in RNAcentral is "transfer RNA-Glu(TTC)". It matches the Rfam family "tRNA". From Rfam's summary of the family: Transfer RNA (tRNA) molecules are approximately 80 nucleotides in length. Their secondary structure includes four short double-helical elements and three loops (D, anti-codon, and T loops). The record is from RNAcentral. Lineage: Bacteria; Pseudomonadati; Bacteroidota; Bacteroidia; Bacteroidales; Rikenellaceae. RNAcentral also lists the same sequence under 3 other names.